AGAAACUGACAAGGAGAUUGCAACAUUUUUAUGAAGAUAUAGAAAAUGUCUAAAUGUCCUAAAACUCAUUGGUGAUGUUGCACCACUAUUUCCAGGGAAGUUACUAAAAUCAUCAAACUGUACAUUUGAAAUGGUUGAAUGUUAUAUAAGAGAGGUAUCUGUGAGGCUGCUUAAAAAUGCCCAAGAUGCCUCUGUUCAAUCGGAAGGACUCGUGGUCUCCAUCCCCCAACUCCAGGAGCCACCAGAAAGGCUCUUCAUGACCUUUCCUGUAGGUCAGGGCGAGAGAAGCUGAAAAAUUCCAUUCUCUCCAGCAAGAGAGGUGUCAGACUGGCUGGAGGUCAGGAACCUUUGAGGGUAAUGGAUCUUCUGAGUGUCACUUCAUCCCAAGGGUCUACUUAGAUUCAAAUCCCUCUUGCUGCCGUAUCAGCUGUGACUCCUAACGUCCAGGCUGGGGUUCUUUCCGUGGGGAUUCUGCAUUCUACGUCCCUUCAGUCAUCACAGAUUCCACACGGCUUCUGUAGCUACUGCUACCUGAGUUAGCCAUGAGCAACUCACCAAAGGAAAAACAGAGGCUGAGAGUCCGGACAGAGGGAGAGGACUCCUGCCCUCACGUGUGCCUGGACUCUCGGCUUCCACCCCGGGCCACACCAGCACACCUCUGUUAGCAAGCCCUAAGCCCCCCACGCACCCCGUUUCUCCAUGACGCCAUGUCCUAGCAGGUCCCCCCUCCGUCCGCAUCCUCCCCACCACAAAGCACCCCACCUCCUGGGGCCUCAUUGCCCAGCCCGGCCCCUGUGGCCUCCCCUCAGCUGAGCCCCUAGAGCAGCCAGAACAUAGGACUCCAGCUGGAAACAUUGCUGGCUGUUACUCCUGGACUGGGGGCCUUCUCUCCCGUCUCCUCGGGAGAAAGGGUCACCAUGGCUUAUAUUUCUCAUUUUACAUGACACUUCCGGGCUCCUGUGUGCUGGCUUCGUUGUGGGUGGUUCCACGGAGACAGCAGCCUGCGAGCUGGCUGGCGGGAGGAGAGGCGGCCCUCCUCAGCAGGCCACAGGAAGCAGUCCGCUGGGCAGGAGGGACACGGAGCUGAAGGCGUCCAGGACAGAGAGGGCAGGAGAGGAAGAGCCGGGGUGGCGCCAGGAGCGAGGCGGAGGCGGGCAGACUGUGACAGCUGGCUCUGGGCACCUGGCGGAGACCCAGGGGAGCCUGGGAGAGUGCGCCCCCCAACCAGGCUAGGACUUGGCCCCCUGUGACGGCCAACCCCGCACCUCCCUGACACUUCCUCUGAAGCUGGGAGAGAGGAGAAGCCCCCAGCCUGCUAAGCUGGGGCUGGAAGCCCGGAGCCCUCAGGCCACAGGAGAGGCUGAACCGAUCCCAGCUGCUCACCCCACGAGCGGGCAGAUGAGCUGCCCACGCAGGCCUGUCUCACGGACCCUCCCGGUCGCAGGGGGUCUUUGACAUUCACCACCGCGGAGAGGCGCUCGGGGUGGGAAGAGGAGACACGGCCCUCCGGCUUCUCCCCCACAUUUCUCCCAGCCCAGCCUGCAGCUCUGUCAUGAGGAUAAGUGACUCUCGUGGAAGCUGAGAGGUAUUUCCAGCCAGUUCCACAGCUCCUCAGCAGAGGGGGGAAGCGAGAGGGCUCCCCUCGUCUGCCUGCCCUGUGUGCGCAGGGCCGCCUUCCCUGACCGCCUCCUCCGCGCCUCCCAGCCCCUUCUUCCCCCUCAGGCCUCCUCCGGCCCGGCCUCAGGGCUGAAUGCUGUCCUCAGCAAGCCCCCUGCCAGCCCUUCUUGGCCAUGGACCCUAGACCAGGGCCAGCAAACCUGUCCUGGAAAGCGCCAGAGACUCCAUGUGCCAGCGCAAACCCGACCAUGGACCCAAGAGAAACGAAGGAACACAACAGGGCUCCAAUAAAGCUUUCGUCACCAAGGCAGGCGGGGGCGCACGCGGCCCUCAGGCCCUGGCUCGCUGCCCCGAGCGCACCAGCCGGCUUCGUGGACUUGGGAGAGCGCGAGGCCCUCAGCAAAUACCGGAGAAAGAGUGUAACGCGGUGAGGACGCCAACGCUGAGCCACGCCGCGCGCCCGCUUCCCGUCCCAGCGGCCUCCUCCCCACGAAGAGCGACUGAGCUGCGGAAACGGCGACGGCGGACCGAGAGGCUGGUGGAGGGUCCCCGACACCACACGAGCCAGGGCCACGUGCGUCCCCACUUGACCGGUGAGGAAACUGAGGCUCAGGAAGUGGAUGCAAGGCACCCAGUGACAGGCGCAGUGAGUCCCAGUGUUCCUGACUCCCGUUUGACACGCCCUCGGCCUCCCAACCCCGACAGGGGGAGCCCCCAAACACAAGCCCUCCCGGAAAACGGCCCCUACGGAGGCGGAGAGGAAAGCGCCAGGCCCCCGCCUGGCUGAGCCACCACACGGAGCAGGGAGCCAGUACUUCUCAAAGACGCACGGCCCCACGCGACGUCACCUUUGAUGCUCCUGGUGAAACAAAGCCUCUAUUCUCUUGCCAGUGUCCCCCCCUCAGACGGGAAGAAGCUUUUGAUCUACCGAUUACAUUCCUGUGCUCCUCAGGUGACAAGCGUCCCCUGCCCGACACCCUGAUGACGGACGUGCCUUUGACUAACAAGGUGUAAGAAACUUGGCCCCCGGGCCAGGCAGCGCCCAGCGAAGGACAGACCGAGGGCUGCAAGGGGCGAGGCGAGCCCCAGCCUGCCCAACGCAGGAUCCCGCAGCAGCCCACGUGGAGGUGACUUGGCACGACCUCAGCGAAGCCCCCAUCAGCUCAUCCACAUCUGCACCGAAAAUGGUGACAACCUGGUUGCAGAGGCCACUGCCCCCUUCCAGGCGAAUCCGUUUGGAAAGGAGGGCGGGAGCGAGGCCAGCCCGACUCCAGCCACCUUCUGCGCAAGAGCCAUCCGGCACCAACACCGUCACUAUUCGAGCUGCCUGAGCUCACUCUUGUUUUGUGUGCCCCCAUCAUAUCCGCGGCAGAUCUCCGACUGAGCUGCCUGGCCUGGGAGCUGGGAUGUCAGGACCCCGUGGGGCAGGUAGUGACCAACCCAAAGUCAACGACCCACGCAGGCAGCCCUUUCACAGGAGGAGUCACAGAGGCUGCUCCCUGGUGGGACUGAGCAUCAAGAACACUGGCCUGAUGUCCUGGUUUGCACGGCUCUGUCCUGCGAACAAGGUCCAUGGGGACAGGGCAAGCUAGUGGACAGAGUGGGUCCUGGGUGGGCCUAGAACCUGGAAGGAGUCACCGACGCGAGAAGGGCAGCCAAGGUGCUUCUUUACGACCUUAUGCCGAGGGCACGUUCUUAGAAGGCCAACCCACAGGGGAUGCUUCCAGGGGUAAAACUGUUCUCGGAGACACUCCGAGGUAGACCACCCAUAAAGGUACAACAGCAAGAGUAAGCCCCACGGACUUGCGUUCAUCAUAACCUAUCCGUGCUGCCACUUGUCACAGAGAACCACACGGACGAAAGAUGUGAGCAGGAGGGACAACGGCGAGGGAGACGGUAGUGAAGGGGGACUCUGUGCUACCUGCUCCACUUUCUGCAAACUUAAAACUUCUCCAGAAAAACAAACUCUAUUAACUAGGAAGGAAGGAAGCGAGAGAGGAGGGAAGCUCUGAGGCUUUGCAGGGCCGUCCGGGCCCACCCAGUCACAGCUGGCGUCUCUGGAUGUGGUGUCUCUGGGUGUGAGCAUGACAGUGUCUGCCCCGAGGCUCCAGGCCGCUGGGAAAGGGCGUAGGGACAGGGGAAGGGCCAGCAGUCAGGAGGCUGUUACCACAAGCCAGGCGGGAGAAGGUGCAGACCCGGGCGUAAAGCCCACAUUUCCGGGGACCGCAGCAGGAACACGAGGGGAGAAGCGGUGCCCACCUAGGCUAUCCUGCUGUAACUGUGAG
RNAcentral lists this long non-coding RNA (3902 nucleotides) under Sus scrofa (pig). Its description in RNAcentral is "lncRNA (ENSSSCG00050048451.1)". Lineage: Eukaryota; Metazoa; Chordata; Mammalia; Artiodactyla; Suidae. The record is from RNAcentral.